Molecule: non-coding RNA, 69 nt
Organism: Podarcis lilfordi (Lilford's wall lizard)
Lineage: Eukaryota; Metazoa; Chordata; Lepidosauria; Squamata; Lacertidae
Source: the annotation of a GenBank genome assembly
GAUAGCUCAGUUGGUUAGAGUGAGGUGCUGAUAACGCCAGGGUUGCAGGUUCGGUCCCCGUAAGGGACA